Molecule: non-coding RNA, 109 nt
Organism: Marinomonas spartinae
Lineage: Bacteria; Pseudomonadati; Pseudomonadota; Gammaproteobacteria; Oceanospirillales; Oceanospirillaceae
Source: Rfam
UCUCUUAAUCAGUAUGAUAAAGUAGAGUAAUAAGGACCCCUAUAUGGGGUUUUUUGUUAUCUGCACUGUUACUGUUUGUAAAUAGAAAUGGGCCUUGAGCCCGUUUUUU